Molecule: long non-coding RNA, 1270 nt
Organism: Lolium rigidum
Lineage: Eukaryota; Viridiplantae; Streptophyta; Magnoliopsida; Poales; Poaceae
Exons: 2
Source: RefSeq, a predicted model, not a curated record
UGUAUAUGUUUGUAUUAUCUCACUAAAUUGAUAAUUCUAUAUACCGAACGAACUCAAUUCAACUCCCAUCCACCUAGGAUAUUUUUGGUGAAAGUUCUCGAGUUUUCAUUACUCAUAACAGUAGGCUAAAUGUGUCAGGUGGGCAUUACCAACUACUGUAUCAAACCUUAUAUGUAAGAAGUUACAGGGUUACUGAAGUUUCUUCCCACCCAUAAAAAAUAAAAUAUAUAAUUUUUUAAGGUUCUUAUUUAUCUGAUUUUAAAAGCAAUGCUCAUAACAUGGCAAUCAAAGUGAUGAUACCUUGCAAAUUAGUCUGCUAGGAUGUAUUAGAAUCCUUGCUGUUUCUUCAGACAGGAGGUGCAUGUGAUUUUUUUCCUGUGAAAUAUGGUACCAUGUAUUUUGUAAAUAUAGCGGAAAUAAAAUAAUUAAGUAUUUUGUAAUAAGGAAGUCCUUCUCGCGGAGAAGCUGGACGACACUAUGUGAGUUGUUGCCUCUCCUGCAGACGACGUACAAGUACGACUGUUUAUCCAAGGUGGCGGAGGAGGAAUCGGUCGUUUUCAUUCAGUGAGGUCUCGAGCAUAUGCAGCUUCUCCUCCAGAACAAAGAGCAGAAUGUUCAGAGAUCCAGAAAGUGAAACUAUUUGGAAGUUAUGAGCAGACCAUACGUCCAGCAGCAGACGAGGUUCACCCUUGUCGAUCAGACUUUUGUACUCUGUAAGCUGUACAAGUGAUGCAGACACUCUCUAGCAGCAGGUUCAGGCUUGGCACCGAUUUCCUUAUGUCAGAUGAAUAGGUUAAAUGUCCUAACUUCUCAACCUGGAGCACUUGGUGAUUCCGCCAAGUUGCCACCGUUAAAACGAUGUUUUCGUAUCUUAUGUACAAUCAAAUUGGCAAUGCGACUCCUUGGGGGCAGGGCUGGAAGGUGUGUGACUGCCGAGGGAAGAGGAAGGUCACCUUACAAGCCUAGAGGUAAGGUGUUCAACAGGUUCCCUCAUGAUAUGCAGAGUGACCUCCCUCACGGUAUGGCUGUAGAGGCAGCUGGUGUAUGAAGAGUCCAGCAAGACCACCAGUCAGAACAAGGAACCUGAAAGUGAAGCAACGAUAACGCCACAGCCUAAGAUUGCAUACAAGGCUUUGUUUUCUUCUUCACGUCUCCUUUUUUCACAAGUUAUUAUUUCUAUUCGUAAUUUGUUAUCAUUCUGUUAUAUGCACUGCUGAAGGAAGAGAAUGCCCAACUUUGGAGCGUAAAUGAAAUCAUUCAAGUGGCCACU